GAAGUGUGGACGCCAGUCUGCAUGGAGCCGACCUUGAAAUACCACCCUUUAAUGUUUGAUGUUCUAACGUUGACCCGUAAUCCGGGUUGCGGACAGUGUCUGGUGGGUAGUUUGACUGGGGCGGUCUCCUCCUAAAGAGUAACGGAGGAGCACGAAGGUUGGCUAAUCCUGGUCGGACAUCAGGAGGUUAGUGCAAUGGCAUAAGCCAGCUUGACUGCGAGCGUGACGGCGCGAGCAGGUGCGAAAGCAGGUCAUAGUGAUCCGGUGGUUCUGAAUGGAAGGGCCAUCGCUCAACGGAUAAAAGGUACUCCGGGGAUAACAGGCUGAUACCGCCCAAGAGUUCAUAUCGACGGCGGUGUUUGGCACCUCGAUGUCGGCUCAUCACAUCCUGGGGCUGAAGUAGGUCCCAAGGGUAUGGCUGUUCGCCAUUUAAAGUGGUACGCGAGCUGGGUUUAGAACGUCGUGAGACAGUUCGGUCCCUAUCUGCCGUGGGCGCUGGAGAACUGAGGGGGGCUGCUCCUAGUACGAGAGGACCGGAGUGGACGCAUCACUGGUGUUCGGGUUGUCAUGCCAAUGGCACUGCCCGGUAGCUAAAUGCGGAAGAGAUAAGUGCUGAAAGCAUCUAAGCACGAAACUUGCCCCGAGAUGAGUUCUCCCUGACUCCUUGAGAGUCCUGAAGGAACGUUGAAGACGACGAC
Molecule: ribosomal RNA, 698 nt
Filed under: Escherichia coli
Lineage: Bacteria; Pseudomonadati; Pseudomonadota; Gammaproteobacteria; Enterobacterales; Enterobacteriaceae
Description: partial 23S ribosomal RNA
Rfam family: Bacterial large subunit ribosomal RNA
Source: RNAcentral